GCCGGGCGCGGUGGCUCAAGCCUGUAAUCCCAGCACUUUGGGAGGCCGAGGCAGGCGGAUCACGAGGUCAGGAGAUCGAGACCAUCCUGGCUAACACGGUGAAAGCCCGUCUCUACUAAAAAUACAANNNNNNNNNNCAGCUAAUUUUUGUAUUUUUAGUAGAGACGGGCUUUCACCGUGUUAGCCAGGAUGGUCUCGAUCUCCUGACCUCGUGAUCCGCCUGCCUCGG
RNAcentral lists this signal recognition particle RNA (229 nucleotides) under Gorilla gorilla gorilla (western lowland gorilla). RNAcentral's name for it is "Metazoan signal recognition particle RNA". It matches the Rfam family "Metazoan signal recognition particle RNA". From Rfam's summary of the family: The signal recognition particle (SRP) is a universally conserved ribonucleoprotein. It is involved in the co-translational targeting of proteins to membranes. The eukaryotic SRP consists of a 300-nucleotide 7S RNA and six proteins: SRPs 72, 68, 54, 19, 14, and 9. Lineage: Eukaryota; Metazoa; Chordata; Mammalia; Primates; Hominidae. The record is from Rfam by way of RNAcentral.